UACAGAGGGUGCAAGCGUUAAUCGGAGUUACUGGGCGUAAAGGGCGCGUAGGCGGUCAUGCAAGUGAGCUGUGAAAUCCCUCGGCUUAACCGAGGAACUGCGCCCAAAACUACCAUGCUCGAGGAAGAUAGAGGUGAGCGGAACUUACGGUGGAGCGGUGAAAUGCGUUGAUAUCGGAAGGAACACCCGUGGCGAAAGCGGCUCACUGGGUCGUAUCUGACGCUGAUGCACGAAAGCGAGGGGAGCAAACGGG
This 253-nucleotide ribosomal RNA is filed under the name uncultured bacterium. RNAcentral's name for it is "partial 16S ribosomal RNA". It matches the Rfam family "Bacterial small subunit ribosomal RNA", at positions 524 to 776 of the family's 1533-position model. The record is from RNAcentral.